Molecule: long non-coding RNA, 881 nt
Organism: Zingiber officinale
Lineage: Eukaryota; Viridiplantae; Streptophyta; Magnoliopsida; Zingiberales; Zingiberaceae
Exons: 6
Source: RefSeq, a predicted model, not a curated record
CCAAAUUCACUCUCCCGAUCUCUUCCUCCUCACACGUGCCCGAAACCCCCUUUCCUCUCCGGCGAUUCCUCCUCGCCCGAUCGCCAGCCACCGCGAGUUCACCGCCAGCAGCGACCUAUCCUCUGCGUGCCUCACCAACACCAAACUCUCUUGGCUGUCGAUCCUCUCCUCCCUCUCCCUCGCGAUUCCUCCCCUAACUCGCGACGCCGACCCUGUGCUGCUUCGACUCGCCGAUCGCCCGACAUCCAUGAGCAGCCGAUGCUGGCCACCGCUUCCCGAGCCCUAGCUUCGGGUCUGUAACCUCCUUCUUGACCCACGACGCCAUCCUAGCAUGACUUGAUCUUGGACCAGAGCAAGAAUCGGAGCCCUAGCUCCCAUUCCUCGUCGCAGUAGCUGUGGAUCGCACGACACCAGCUGUAGGGAUUGGUUGAGGAGGCGACGUCGGAUCAACCUGGUGAUGGUUCUUCCCUAAGCAGACCUUGAUCUUCUCCAUUCCUUGCAGUUGAUUGAAGCCUCGAGUGAAGAGGUAGGGGUUCAAUUGAGGGUUUCUUUGGGUAGCUGUCGACAAGAGGUUUUGUUUGGAGGACAGUGGUGUUUCUUGGUUCCAGUAGUAGCUCCAGUUUUGCUUCCUGCAGCAAUUUUCUCCAUAGCAAAUCAAUUGUUGGGGGUAUAUGCUUUGAGAUCAUGAAUAAAGGCCAUCAGCUGGGGCAUUCAGAUCUCUUCACCGAGCUAUUGUAGAUCUACAGGUUGGAUUAGGGACCGUGAUAUGGGACGAUCAUCACGAUGUGGGAUUUAUUUUAGCACGAUCGACGUAUAAAGGUAGCUUGUAGAUGGUUGGUGUCGCUCGGAGUAUCCUGUCUGCCGGGUCCUACGUCACAUCC